This 500-nucleotide ribosomal RNA is filed under the name uncultured soil bacterium. Its description in RNAcentral is "bacterial SSU rRNA". It matches the Rfam family "Bacterial small subunit ribosomal RNA", at positions 986 to 1428 of the family's 1533-position model. The record is from RNAcentral.
CUAUGAGAAAGCCCCNCGUCCCCGAGGGAGAAAGCGAAAGGNUCCCGUAACCGCAGGGCCGAACAGGAAGAGCGNCAACGAGGAGCUUCCAGGGGGAAACCGCCUGGAAUCCUAAAAGUCCGUCAUUAUGGCUGUCGUCAGCUCGUGUGUGAGAUGUUGGGUUAAGUCCCGCAACGAGCGCAACCCUCGUCUUUAGUUGCUACCAUUUAGUUGAGCACUCUAAAGAAACUGCCGGUGAUAAGCCGGAGGAAGGUGGGGAUGACGUCAAGUCCUCAUGGCCUUACGCGCUGGGCUACACACGUGCUACAAUGGCGGUGACAAAGGGCAGCAAACCCGCGAGGGCGAGCAAAUCCCAAAAAGCCGUCUCAGUUCGGAUUGUUCUCUGCAACUCGAGAGCAUGAAGGCGGAAUCGCUAGUAAUCGCGGAUCAGCACGCCGCGGUGAAUACGUUCCCAGGCCUUGUACACACCGCCCGUGGGGCGGGGGCGCAANCCUAAUGUA